UCAAGACAGCUGCCAUAUUCUGUCAACCUCUGUAGAGAGGAGAGAAAUAACAUAAACAUAUGUUGGGCGUUUUGAACGAGCUUGGUUGCAACUUCUCAACUGAAAUUCCAAGUGGGCCUUAAAAAUGCCAAACAAGAGCAAAAGAUGUCCAAACCAGAGCUCCGCAAUUAGCUGAAUUUGAAUCCUCUAAAAAUUCAAAUGAUUUUCAUCUUUUUGAAUUCGAAUAUAUAUAUAUAGCUACGGCAUAAAAUAGAAAAUUGAGAUCCUUUCUUCAAGAGACCCGAUUUCCUGUCUUUGGUGAAGUUACAGCUAAGUGUAGAGAAAUGAGAAAGCCAAAUGAAGGAAGACGUGGCAGCUCCAAAGACUGGAAAUUUGUCUCUUGAAGAAAGCAUUCAAAUUGCAAAUCUGAAGUUGGAGAGGAUUCAAAUUCAACUAAUGAUAGAACUCUGGUUUCAACGUCUUUUGCUCCAAGGGCCAUUGUUUUUAAAGUCAGGUGGAAGGUCCAACUGGGCAUCUGUAAAAAUGGUGACAAAAAUGAUCUGAGCAUCGAAUGCAACACUCACACCAACGAUUGCGAAAACCCUAACAUAUGUUUGUAUACUCUCAUUAAAUUUUCUCUUCUUCACUUUGAGAUUCCUUUUACUUCCACCUCUCACUUAUCUCACCACAAAUUCCCUACAUCUACAUCUCCAUACAUUCUCUAGCGUAUUCUUUGCUGCUUCUCAGGUCAAAUUCCAAUUAGGCCUUAAAAGUGUUUAAGAAAUGGAAGAGUAUUGCAAGACUCCAUCGCAGAGAGCAGAACAGUCUUCUUUAUCACUGCUGUGGACAACAAAAUUGGGCUCACAUAAGGCUCAUGUGAAUUCUGAUAUAAUGAUUUCAGAUUUGCAAAGUUGUUUGAUGCUUGCUUAAGAGAAUAGCCCUUUGAAAGAGGAAGAAGGGGUAUGGAUUAGGGUAAAUAAGACGUCCAAAUGUCUUUCAAAUUCAUCAAAUGCAUGCGCUAUGCUUCCCACUUUGUAAUGUGUUUGGCUUUCAUAUCUUUGCAAUGUAUUGGAUGAAGAGGAUAUUAAGUUUUUUAAUGAAGGAUUAUAAGUUGUUGCAUCCUUCAACUCAAAUCUUAAUUUUUCUACAUUCUUAUUA
Molecule: long non-coding RNA, 1137 nt
Organism: Cryptomeria japonica (Japanese cedar)
Lineage: Eukaryota; Viridiplantae; Streptophyta; Pinopsida; Cupressales; Cupressaceae
Exons: 2
Source: RefSeq, a predicted model, not a curated record